CCUACGGGAGGCAGCAGUGGGGAAUCUUGCGCAAUGGGCGAAAGCCUGACGCAGCAACGCCGCGUGCGGGAAGAAGGCUUUCGGGCUGUAAACCGCUUUCAGCAGGAACGAAAAUGACGGUACCUGCAGAAGAAGGAGCGGCCAACUAUGUGCCAGCAGCCGCGGUGAUACAUAGGCUUCAAGCGUUGUCCGGAUUUAUUGGGCGUAAAGAGUUCGUAGGCGGUCGAGUAAGUCGGGUGUGAAAAUUCUGGGCUCAACCCAGAGACGCCACCCGAUACUGCUUGACUUGAGUUCGAUAGGGGAUGGGGAAUUCCUAGUGUAGCGGUGAAAUGCGCAGAUAUUAGGAGGAACACCGGUGGCGAAGGCGCCACUCUGGAUCGAUACUGACGCUGAGGAACGAAAGCAUGGGUAGCAAACAGGAUUAGAUACCCUGGUAGUCCAUGCCGUAAACGGUGGGCACUAGGUGUGGGAUUCUAUUAACGAAUUCCGNGCCGUCGCUAACGCAUUAAGUGCCCCGCUGGGGAAUACGGUCGCAAGCUAAAACUCAAAGGAAUUGACGGNNGAGAGNGCGACGACGACACGAGGAGAG
RNAcentral lists this ribosomal RNA (589 nucleotides) under uncultured bacterium. RNAcentral describes it as "bacterial SSU rRNA". It matches the Rfam family "Bacterial small subunit ribosomal RNA", at positions 338 to 946 of the family's 1533-position model. The record is from RNAcentral.